This 782-nucleotide ribosomal RNA is filed under the name uncultured Frankineae bacterium. Its description in RNAcentral is "bacterial SSU rRNA". It matches the Rfam family "Bacterial small subunit ribosomal RNA", at positions 8 to 796 of the family's 1533-position model. Lineage: Bacteria; Bacillati; Actinomycetota; Actinomycetes; Frankiales. The record is from RNAcentral.
AGAGUUUGAUCCUGGCUCAGGACGAACGCUGGCGGCGUGCUUAACACAUGCAAGUCGAGCGAGAGCCCAUUGGUGGCAACACCGAUGGGUUUCUAGCGGCGAACGGGUGAGUAACACGUGGGCAACCUGCCCUUGGCUCUGGGAUAACCCCGGGAAACCGGGGCUAAUACCGGAUACGACCCUGGAGGGCAUCUUCUGGGGUGGAAAGAUUUAUCGGCCAAGGAUGGGCCCGCGGCCUAUCAGCUAGUUGGUGGGGUAACGGCCCACCAAGGCGACGACGGGUAGCCGGCCUGAGAGGGCGACCGGCCACACUGGGACUGAGACACGGCCCAGACUCCUACGGGAGGCAGCAGUGGGGAAUAUUGCGCAACGGGCGAAAGCCUGACGCAGCGACGCCGCGUGAGGGAUGAAGGCCUUCGGGUUGUAAACCUCUUUCAGCAGGGACGAAGCGCAAGUGACGGUACCUGCAGAAGAAGGACCGGCCAACUACGUGCCAGCAGCCGCGGUAAUACGUAGGGUCCGAGCGUUGUCCGGAAUUAUUGGGCGUAAAGAGCUCGUAGGCGGUCUGUCGCGUCGGCUGUGAAAACCCGGGGCUCAACCCCGGGCCUGCAGUCGAUACGGGCAGACUAGAGUUCGGUAGGGGAGACUGGAAUUCCUGGUGUAGCGGUGAAAUGCGCAGAUAUCAGGAGGAACACCGGUGGCGAAGGCGGGUCUCUGGGCCGAAACUGACGCUGAGGAGCGAAAGCGUGGGGAGCGAACAGGAUUAGAUACCCCGGUAGUCC